UACGAAGGGGGCUAGCGUUGCUCGGAAUCACUGGGCGUAAAGGGUGCGUAGGCAGGUCUUUAAGUCAGGGGUGAAAUCCUGGAGCUCAACUCCAGAACUGCCUUUGAUACUGAGGAUCUUGAGUUCGGGAGAGGUGAGUGGAACUGCGAGUGUAGAGGUGAAAUUCGUAGAUAUUCGCAAGAACACCAGUGGCGAAGGCGGCUCACUGGCCCGAUACUGACGCUGAGGCACGAAAGCGUGGGGAGCAAACAGGG
Molecule: ribosomal RNA, 254 nt
Filed under: uncultured bacterium
Lineage: Bacteria
Description: partial 16S ribosomal RNA
Rfam family: Bacterial small subunit ribosomal RNA
Source: RNAcentral